Pocillopora damicornis (cauliflower coral) is the source of this 628-nucleotide long non-coding RNA. RefSeq lists it as uncharacterized. The record is from RefSeq and is a predicted model, not a curated record. Lineage: Eukaryota; Metazoa; Cnidaria; Anthozoa; Scleractinia; Pocilloporidae.
GACAGAAGUUGAUUUGUAGAAACCGCCCUUGAUAAUUGAUCGCAGCGACAGGUGUAAUGCGAAACGGUAGCGGGGGAAUUAAUCUGUUUGAGCGAGGGUAUAAAAGCCGUGAAAAGAAAACUAUUUAAAAGCAGUUCGGAAAAAAAUCGCCUACAUCAGAACAAGUGCUAGUCAGCCAACAGAACCAACACAAAGAAACUAACGAAGAUGAAGAUUCGCCAUGUGUGCGUUCUGAUCGCAUUAGUUCUCACAUUGUCCAUAUUACAGACCGCAGACGCAAGACCGUCAAGAAGUUGCAGAUGGUGUGUUAACAAUUUUAGGCUUUGCUCAAAUCUUUGCAAAACUGGUCUCUGCAUAAGGGACUGUGAUACAUUCAAGUUUCAGUGCUACAGGAAGUGUGUAAAAAGAGACGAAACAAUGCUCGAUUCACUGGAUGUCGAGGAAGUUGCAGAUGUAUUAUCCUAAUGUCACGCGAACAGAGUCGAAGACAAGGACAAUUAUGAGCAGGAUAAGGGUAUAAAUACAUAAAUUGCUUGUUGAGUUAAAUUCAAAACCAUUGAUCAGCAAUUCCGGUCAAUCUUUUAAAGUUGUUAAAAAUACAUUUGAACAAAGUGCAGAAUGACUCAAA